GGGGAGUGACGUCAAGUCAGCAUGGCCUUUAUAUCCAGGGCUACACACACGCUACAAUGGCCGGUACAGAGGGGCGCAAAGCCGCGAGGUGGAGCAAAUCUCACAAAGCCGGUCUCAGUUCAGAUUGCAGGCUGCAACUCGCCUGCAUGAAGUCGGAGUUGCUAGUAACCGCAGGUCAGCUAUACUGCGGUGAAUACGUUCCCGGGUCUU
Molecule: ribosomal RNA, 210 nt
Filed under: uncultured Caldilineaceae bacterium
Lineage: Bacteria; Bacillati; Chloroflexota; Caldilineae; Caldilineales; Caldilineaceae
Description: partial 16S ribosomal RNA
Rfam family: Bacterial small subunit ribosomal RNA
Source: RNAcentral